This 419-nucleotide ribosomal RNA is filed under the name bacterium. RNAcentral's name for it is "partial 16S ribosomal RNA". It matches the Rfam family "Bacterial small subunit ribosomal RNA", at positions 355 to 776 of the family's 1533-position model. The record is from RNAcentral.
UGGGGGAUAUUGCACAAUGGGCGAAAGCCUGAUGCAGCGACGCCGCGUGGGGGAUGAAGGCCUUCGGGUUGUAAACUUCUUUUGCUCUGAACAAGGCAUGCUAAUGGGUGUGUUGAGUGUAGGGGUUGAUUAGCGCCGGCUAACUACGUGCCAGCAGCCGCGGUAAUACGUAGGGCGCGAGCGUUGUCCGGAAUUAUUGGGCGUAAAGGGCUUGUAGGUGGCUGGUUGCGUCUGUCGUGAAAGCUCAUGGCUUAACUGUGGGUUUGCGGUGGGUACGGGCUGGCUUGAGUGCAGUAGGGGAGGCUGGAAUUCCUGGUGUAGCGGUGGAAUGCGCAGAUAUCAGGAGGACUACCGGUGGCGAAGGCGGGUCUCUGGGCUGUUACUGACACUGUGGAGCGAAAGCAUGGGGAGCGAACAGG